Molecule: long non-coding RNA, 224 nt
Filed under: Prunus dulcis (almond)
Lineage: Eukaryota; Viridiplantae; Streptophyta; Magnoliopsida; Rosales; Rosaceae
Description: sRNA ncRNA
Source: RNAcentral
AUGCCAACAUGGCUUAACUUGUAUACCAGUGGUCUCACAAUGGAACCUCCAUUACACUUUGGUAGUGUGCUUGUGAAAAACACUCAUCCUCUUAGAUUAUCGCUUGUAUUUAAAAAGAAAAAUUGUUUAAUUUUAUCAACUACAAAUACAAUGGAAAUAACCACAUCAACUCAUAAUAGCAACAAAAAAAUCCGUUUAAAGAAUCGUCGAUGGAUUGUUUUUAA